Molecule: non-coding RNA, 692 nt
Organism: Oncorhynchus mykiss (rainbow trout)
Lineage: Eukaryota; Metazoa; Chordata; Actinopteri; Salmoniformes; Salmonidae
Source: RefSeq, a predicted model, not a curated record
GGGGGGGUGGUAGAGAGGGUAUAUUUUUAUUCGGCGUCCCGGCAAAAGAAAUACCAGUAAUCCAUCAAUCAUUUUUUUUUUAUAAUUAAAAAACGUUGGCUAUAACAGCAUUAUUUCUCAUUACCACGUCAGAGGAGAAGAAAUGGCUUUGGAAACAGGUGAUUUAGUCUACUUGGAAAUGGGUGAUAUAGCCUACUUGGAAAUGGGUGAUAUAGUCUACUUGGAAAUGGGUGAUAUAGCCUACUUGGAAAUGGGUGAUAUAGUCUACUUGGAAAUGGGUGAUAUAGUCUACUUGGAAAUGGGUGAUAUAGUCUACUUGGAAGCAUGUGAUAUAGCCUACUUGGAAACAGGUGAUAUAGUCUACUUGAAAGCAUGUGAUAUAGCCUACAUUCCAAAAUGCGUUGUGUUUCCAAUGGAGAAAACAGGCAUUUUGCCACGGCAGAGAUGAGUGACCGAGACGCACGCGGACAGCAGCGGACGAGGACAUUCUGGCCCAAACACUUUGGGGUGUUUUGGGUUACAUAUUUCUUUCCAUUCACUCCUGUUCGGAUGCUGGAAAUAUGUCUCAAGUGGAUGAACGUGUGAGGGUCGCCUCGUAAAGGGUCCUUUUGAAGUAGUUAUUUGACAAUUGGGUGAAAACAUCAUGACUGGUUAUGUUUAUGCCACAAUAAAAGUUAAAUGACAAAUCUUUA